AGAUUUGAAGGAAAAAAAAAAAAAAAACAAAAGAAAAAAAUUCAGCCCUCGUAUUCCUCCAUCUCCUUUCUUGUCUGUGUAAUGCCAAGCUAGCUAACCGGCUCCCAGUCCUCCGACAUAAACCGCUCCAACUCACUGAGGCUUCCUUUUCCUUACGGUGACUCGAAACUUAGAGUUGAUAUCCAACCAGAUCACUUUAACCUGAGUUGCUGAGCCCAAUGACCCGGACACGUAAUGUCAUUGUUGCCACUGGAUUACUGGCUUUUGCUGCUGCAGGCUUGGCAUUUCCCUUCUACAUGGCAUCAUCCAGGGGCAAGCCAGUGAUUGACCCAUCAAAGCCAUUGCCACCACAGGCGACUUUCCGAGGGCCUUACAUAAACACAGGUUCACGUGACAUUGGACCUGAUCCUGGGUCUUACCCAAAGAAGUAAUGUGCUUUGCGAGAAAAGUGUUGGGGAGGGCAAGUAAAUUGCAUGCACAAUCAUGCCCAUUUCCUGCAAAUUGAGACAUUUGGUCGCAUUAUCUUCUUUUCUGCCAAUGGACAUCUUUGUGGAUUCUGUACCUAGAAAUCUACUGAUCAUCACAAAUGGAUAAGCAACAUGUUGAGAAUUACAACGAGAAUGAGAAUUUCUGGAAAAUGGAAUUGCUUAAAAACAUGAUUUCUUUCUUUCUUUCUUUCUUUCUUUAUAUUUUUAUAAUGUAAGAACUUAAUAUCAUAGAUUAUUUGUGAUCCAAACGAUCAGAUAUUUGCAUAUACAUCUAUUUCGUACAUUGAAAAAUUGUUGAGUGUGGCUAUAUGAUUGAUAAAUGACACUAUAGUGUAUGAGCAAUAUAUACAUGCAACCAAUAGUAAUUUGCAAUUUGAGGAUUGCAACUUUUGGUUUCUAAA
Populus euphratica (Euphrates poplar) is the source of this 889-nucleotide long non-coding RNA. RefSeq lists it as uncharacterized. The record is from RefSeq and is a predicted model, not a curated record. The transcript is spliced from 3 exons. NCBI's taxonomy places the organism in Eukaryota, Viridiplantae, Streptophyta, Magnoliopsida, Malpighiales, Salicaceae.